GAGUAAUGUCUGGGAAACUGCCUGAUGGAGGGGGAUAACUACUGGAAACGGUGGCUAAUACCGCAUAACGUCGCAAGACCAAAGAGGGGGACCUUCGGGCCUCUUGCCAUCAGAUGUGCCCAGAUGGGAUUAGCUUGUUGGUGAGGUAACGGCUCACCAAGGCGACGAUCCCUAGCUGGUCUGAGAGGAUGACCAGCCACACUGGAACUGAGACACGGUCCAGACUCCUACGGGAGGCAGCAGUGGGGAAUAUUGCACAAUGGGCGCAAGCCUGAUGCAGCCAUGCCGCGUGUAUGAAGAAGGCCUUCGGGUUGUAAAGUACUUUCAGCGGGGAGGAAGGUGUUGUGGUUAAUAACCGCAGCAAUUGACGUUACCCGCAGAAGAAGCACCGGCUAACUCCGUGCCAGCAGCCGCGGUAAUACGGAGGGUGCAAGCGUUAAUCGGAAUUACUGGGCGUAAAGCGCACGCAGGCGGUCUGUCAAGUCGGAUGUGAAAUCCCCGGGCUCAACCUGGGAACUGCAUUCGAAACUGGCAGGCUUGAGUCUUGUAGAGGGGGGUAGAAUUCCAGGUGUAGCGGUGAAAUGCGUAGAGAUCUGGAGGAAUACCGGUGGCGAAGGCGGCCCCCUGGACAAAGACUGACGCUCAGGUGCGAAAGCGUGGGGAGCAAACAGGAUUAGAUACCCUGGUAGUCCACGCCGUAAACGAUGUCUACUUGGAGGUUGUGCCCUUGAGGCGUGGCUUCCGGAGCUAACGCGUUAAGUAGACCGCCUGGGGAGUACGGCCGCAAGGUUAAAACUCAAAUGAAUUGACGGGGGCCCGCACAAGCGGUGGAGCAUGUGGUUUAAUUCGAUGCAACGCGAAGAACCUUACCUGGUCUUGACAUCCACGGAAGUUUUCAGAGAUGAGAAUGUGCCUUCGGGAACCGUGAGACAGGUGCUGCAUGGCUGUCGUCAGCUCGUGUUGUGAAAUGUUGGGUUAAGUCCCGCAACGAGCGCAACCCUUAUCCUUUGUUGCCAGCGGUCCGGCCGGGAACUCAAAGGAGACUGCCAGUGAUAAACUGGAGGAAGGUGGGGAUGACGUCAAGUCAUCAUGGCCCUUACGACCAGGGCUACACACGUGCUACAAUGGCGCAUACAAAGAGAAGCGACCUCGCGAGAGCAAGCGGACCUCAUAAAGUGCGUCGUAGUCCGGAUUGGAGUCUGCAACUCGACUCCAUGAAGUCGGAAUCGCUAGUAAUCGUGGAUCAGAAUGCCACGGUGAAUACGUUCCCGGGCCUUGUACACACCGCCCGUCACACCAUGGGAGUGGGUUGCAAAAGAAGUAGGUAGCUUAACCUUCGGGAGGGCGCUUACCACUUUGUGAUUCAUGACUGGGGUGAAGUCGUAACAAGGUAACCGUAGGGGAACCUGC
This 1410-nucleotide ribosomal RNA is filed under the name Salmonella enterica subsp. enterica serovar Oranienburg. RNAcentral's name for it is "partial 16S ribosomal RNA". It matches the Rfam family "Bacterial small subunit ribosomal RNA". Lineage: Bacteria; Pseudomonadati; Pseudomonadota; Gammaproteobacteria; Enterobacterales; Enterobacteriaceae. The record is from RNAcentral. RNAcentral also lists the same sequence under 4 other names.